This is a long non-coding RNA of Cynocephalus volans (Philippine flying lemur), 1357 nucleotides long. RefSeq lists it as uncharacterized. The transcript is spliced from 2 exons. NCBI's taxonomy places the organism in Eukaryota, Metazoa, Chordata, Mammalia, Dermoptera, Cynocephalidae. The record is from RefSeq and is a predicted model, not a curated record.
CUGUCCUGGACUUUGUUCUUUAUAUGUAAAGACUUGAAAUAGAACAUACUCAAACUUGUCUUUAAGUAAGUCUGCAGGUAUACAGGUUUAUGUGUCUUAAAAUCUUGAUUUUUUUUUUUUUAAAGCUAAACCUCAUAUUAUAAAACCAAACUCCUCUGCAGCUUGAAACACUUCUUGGCUGACAAUAGAAGACUGUCUUUCCCAAUGUCCUGGAAGCAGGCCUUCCUGUUUUCCACAAUUGAACAAACUGGAAGUCAUGAGACUGAAGCUGUGCUGACCCAAAGCUUGUCACAAGCUGGUGACAAUGAGGACCAGGUGUUUGGGCUUUUCUCCACGUCCUUGGAAUAGGUGAGCCUAAAAUGUCUUGAGUGUUUCCCACACUGACUCACGCUAUAGCACCUAAGACCCCAGUAACCAGGCAGCCUGGGUGGAAACUGGGAAAACCCAGACUGCAGGUCACUUUCUGCCUUUACUCCCAAACUCUGCUCAAGGACAGGAGAGCCAGUAUGCAUCUGGGUCUGGUCUACUUUGGAAGACAUUCUGCAAAGAUAUAUAACCUCAGGAGAUAAAACAGAUGAACUUGGAAGGCUAAAAUCUGCAGAAGCCAAAAUCAACCAGCAAUAGUUGAGGUGAAAUACAGGCAAUGAAAUGUGGGUGUGUUUAAAAAGGAAACCAGGAAGCCAAGAUUACUUACACAGCUAAAAGAUGGUGGAUGCCAACAACAACGGAAUACUGGAGAAAGAAUGAAGCCACUACCAGGCACAGAGUCGUCGGCAGAAACAUCAGACCUUUAUCGCUCACUACAUGCUGCAAAACUGAACUAACAAAUGGUGAAUGAAACACCCAAAGCAACCACGAAUGGAAUCUGCAUCACAGACAUCCAAGGAGAACUGCAAUGUAUCUCUACAGACACAUGGAACAUGCAUUAAAAAAGAGCAUACAUUAUAAAUACAAAAGUAUUCACGUUUUCACCAAUUAUCUUGGAAAGGUGAAAGACAUAGGAGAUCCCUUUAGUAAAGAAAAAGAAUGCUGAUAACAGGAAAUACUAUCCCAUUAUCAAGCGUCUGUUUUCUCAGUCUCAGAGAUACCAUAAUACCUGGGUACCCAGUCUCCAGGAUGAAGAUGUCUGUAUUACAUGACUUGACAUGACAGAAAAGAUACAAGACAGGUUACCUCUAUACAAUGUCUUUGCUCAUAAAGAAUUAAUGCUGCCCAGUGAAACACUUUGCGUAACAAAAGAAGGGACCCUAGACAUCUGGCUAGGAGCAAAGCUAAUGAGGAACAGACCUACCACUUUGGGGUCUUGUUACCACAAGUAAAUUAAUAAAUAAAGAGCAUAUCAUCUGAAAAAUUACAA